GAUGAACGCUAGCGGCAGGCUUAACACAUGCAAGUCGAGGGGUAACAGGGAAGAGCUUGCUUUUCUGCUGACGACCGGCGCACGGGUGCGUAACGCGUAUAGAACCUACCUUUUACAGGGGAAUAGCCCAGAGAAAUUUGGAUUAAUGCCCCAUAGUAUUAUUGAAUGGCAUCAUUUAAUAAUUAAACAUUUAUGGGUAAAAGAUGGCUAUGCGUUCUAUUAGCUAGAUGGUAAGGUAACGGCUUACCAUGGCAACGAUAGAUAGGGGUCCUGAGAGGGAGAUCCCCCACACUGGUACUGAGACACGGACCAGACUCCUACGGGAGGCAGCAGUGAGGAAUAUUGGACAAUGGAGGCAACUCUGAUCCAGCCAUGCCGCGUGCAGGAAGACGGUCCUAUGGAUUGUAAACUGCUUUUAUAUAGGAAGAAACCUUUCCACGUGUGGAAAGCUGACGGUACUAUAAGAAUAAGCACCGGCUAACUCCGUGCCAGCAGCCGCGGUAAUACGGAGGGUGCAAGCGUUAUCCGGAAUCAUUGGGUUUAAAGGGUCCGUAGGCGGACUAAUAAGUCAGGGGUGAAAUCCAACAGCUUAACUGUUGAACUGCCUUUGAUACUGUUAGUCUUGAGUUAUAUGGAAGUAGAUAGAAUAUGUAGUGUAGCGGUGAAAUGCUUAGAGAUUA
Molecule: ribosomal RNA, 680 nt
Filed under: Lutibacter sp.
Lineage: Bacteria; Pseudomonadati; Bacteroidota; Flavobacteriia; Flavobacteriales; Flavobacteriaceae
Description: bacterial SSU rRNA
Rfam family: Bacterial small subunit ribosomal RNA
Source: RNAcentral